CAAGUUUGCUCAUAUUCAUUGUGUUGUUUGUUUUGUUCACUUCUAAUCUUCCUUUGGUCACACUAGAAGCAGAGGAAAUACGAGGCAGAGAUAAGAAAAAAAAAGGCAGCUGACAUCCUGCAGAAAGAAAGUUCUGGAAAUCUCUGCUCUCCUGCACACAAAUCUGAGGCAGAGCAGCUGUUCCAAUCCUAACCUUUAGACUUUUCUGUGAGCGAAGAGCUAGCUUUGAUCUCUCAUCAAUAAACAAAUAAAAGAAAGGCUGUUUCACUGGAUAGAAGCAAUUCUGUAUCCAGAUACCACCCAUCCCUCAUUCAUUGUGAUGCAGAAAACCUUGAAAGCAUGAACUCUGAAGAUUCAAAAUCCAAAGACAAAUUACCAGCACCCCAUUUUUUUAUAUUUAGAUCAGAUGAAUUGGAAUCACUCAUUUUUGGGCACCUGACUUGUAUUUUUUGAGCCUUUAGGAUUGGCGAUUUUUGAAUAAAUUAUGAAA
Molecule: non-coding RNA, 490 nt
Organism: Pelodiscus sinensis (Chinese soft-shelled turtle)
Lineage: Eukaryota; Metazoa; Chordata; Testudines; Trionychidae
Source: RefSeq, a predicted model, not a curated record